GUUUGACCUCAAAUCAGGUAGGAAUACCCGCUGAACUUAAGCAUAUCAAUAAGCGGAGGAAAAGAAACCAACAGGGAUUGCCUUAGUAGCGGCGAGUGAAGCGGCAAAAGCUCAAAUUUGAAAUCUGGCGCCUUCGGUGUCCGAGUUGUAAUUUGAAGAUUGUAACCUUGGGGUUGGCUCUUGUCUAUGUUUCUUGGAACAGGACGUCACAGAGGGUGAGAAUCCCGUGCGAUGAGAUGCCCAAUUCUAUGUAAGGUGCUUUCGAAGAGUCGAGUUGUUUGGGAAUGCAGCUCUAAGUGGGUGGUAAAUUCCAUCUAAAGCUAAAUAUUGGCGAGAGACCGAUAG
Molecule: ribosomal RNA, 345 nt
Filed under: Meyerozyma guilliermondii
Lineage: Eukaryota; Fungi; Ascomycota; Pichiomycetes; Serinales; Debaryomycetaceae
Description: eukaryotic LSU rRNA
Rfam family: Eukaryotic large subunit ribosomal RNA
Source: RNAcentral